Molecule: small nuclear RNA, 101 nt
Filed under: Vombatus ursinus (common wombat)
Lineage: Eukaryota; Metazoa; Chordata; Mammalia; Diprotodontia; Vombatidae
Source: RNAcentral
AUAAUUAUAUACUAUGUAUACUAAAAUUGGAAUAGUAGAGAAAAUUAGCAUGGCCCCUGUGCAAGGAUGAUGUGGAAAUUCACGAAGCAUUCCCUAGUUUU